AGUCGAGCGAACAGACGAGGAGCUUGCUCCUCUGACGUUAGCGGCGGACGGGUGAGUAACACGUGGAUAACCUACCUAUAAGACUGGGAUAACUUCGGGAAACCGGAGCUAAUACCGGAUAAUAUAUUGAACCGCAUGGUUCAAUAGUGAAAGACGGUUUUGCUGUCACUUAUAGAUGGAUCCGCGCCGCAUUAGCUAGUUGGUAAGGUAACGGCUUACCAAGGCGACGAUGCGUAGCCGACCUGAGAGGGUGAUCGGCCACACUGGAACUGAGACACGGUCCAGACUCCUACGGGAGGCAGCAGUAGGGAAUCUUCCGCAAUGGGCGAAAGCCUGACGGAGCAACGCCGCGUGAGUGAUGAAGGUCUUCGGAUCGUAAAACUCUGUUAUUAGGGAAGAACAAAUGUGUAAGUAACUAUGCACGUCUUGACGGUACCUAACCAGAAAGCCACGGCUAACUACGUGCCAGCAGCCGCGGUAAUACGUAGGUGGCAAGCGUUAUCCGGAAUUAUUGGGCGUAAAGCGCGCGCAGGCGGUUUUUUAAGUCUGAUGUGAAAGCCCACGGCUCAACCGUGGAGGGUCAUUGGAAACUGGAAAACUUGAGUGCAGAAGAGGAAAGUGGAAUUCCAUGUGUAGCGGUGAAAUGCGCAGAGAUAUGGAGGAACACCAGUGGCGAAGGCGACUUUCUGGUCU
RNAcentral lists this ribosomal RNA (693 nucleotides) under uncultured Staphylococcus sp. RNAcentral describes it as "bacterial SSU rRNA". It matches the Rfam family "Bacterial small subunit ribosomal RNA", at positions 60 to 735 of the family's 1533-position model. Lineage: Bacteria; Bacillati; Bacillota; Bacilli; Caryophanales; Staphylococcaceae. The record is from RNAcentral.